Molecule: ribosomal RNA, 302 nt
Filed under: uncultured bacterium
Lineage: Bacteria
Description: partial 16S ribosomal RNA
Rfam family: Bacterial small subunit ribosomal RNA
Source: RNAcentral
GCAGUAGCCGCGGGAAUACGGAGGAUCCAAGCGUUAUCCGGAAUCAUUGGGUUUAAAGGGUCCGUAGGCGGUCUUGUAAGUCAGUGGUGAAAGCCCAUCGCUCAACGGUGGAACGGCCAUUGAUACUGCAGGACUUGAAUUAUUUGGAAGUAACUAGAAUAUGUAGUGUAGCGGUGAAAUGCUUAGAGAUUACAUGGAAUACCAAUUGCGAAGGCAGGUUACUACCAAUUGAUUGACGCUGAUGGACGAAAGCGUGGGUAGCGAACAGGAUUAGAUACCCCCGUAGUCCCUGUCUCUUAUAC